GAGAUAUUAGCUCAGUUGGUAGAGCAUCACACUUUUAAUGUGAGGGUCAAGAGUUCAAGCCUCUUAUAUCUCA
Molecule: transfer RNA, 73 nt
Filed under: Caudoviricetes sp.
Lineage: Duplodnaviria; Heunggongvirae; Uroviricota; Caudoviricetes
Description: tRNA-Lys
Rfam family: tRNA
About the family: Transfer RNA (tRNA) molecules are approximately 80 nucleotides in length. Their secondary structure includes four short double-helical elements and three loops (D, anti-codon, and T loops).
Source: RNAcentral